Molecule: RNA transcript, 3076 nt
Organism: Capsicum annuum
Lineage: Eukaryota; Viridiplantae; Streptophyta; Magnoliopsida; Solanales; Solanaceae
Exons: 5
Source: RefSeq, a predicted model, not a curated record
UCCAUUUUUCACAAAAAAAUUUCAUUAGUCCGCCCAAACAAAAAGCAUUUUACUAAAACUUUUGGAGAAUGCUUCUCUCUUAGCAUAAACCUACAACCCCGAAUUUGCUUCUCUUCGCUACAACGACAAUCAAUGGCUUCUCUUUUAGCUUAAACCUACAACACAGUACUGAAUUUGCUUCUCUUCUCUAAAAUCGCUACAACAACAGUCAAUCGAUUAGGGAAUCGGCUUCUUUUCCCUACAACGACAAUCAAUCGAUUAGGGGAAUCGUCUUCUUUUUUCUAUAAUCUCUACAAUUACUACGAUUUGGUAGUGAGCUCAGUGGGAUUUACUGGUGUUGCUUCAAAAAAUGAUUUACCGGUGCGAGGAAUAUUUGGACCAAGAUAUCUGGGAUUAGGUUGUUUUGGUAAGCUACGGACCAACUGUAGAAUUGCAUUUUGAUUCCUGGAUUUAGGACCCAUUUUGGUGUAUUCGGCACACUUCAAGAAAUUGGGAAGCGCGAAGGUCUGAAAGGUCUCUACAGGUGAUUUUGGAGCUGCAGCUGCUUGUCUCUUUUGUAUAUUAGAGAAGCAAAUAGCUAGGUAUUUUAUUCUAUACAGGAAUUUGUUUGGAGUUUGAAGAAUAUUGUUGAAGAGGUUGCUCUCUAUGUUUUCUAGAAUUCAUAAACAAACCACCUACUAUCCUUUCCCUCCCAACAAAUCAAGAAAGUUCAUGUAUUGAUUCAGAUUCACUAAGAGAUUGCUUCUACACUAGUAAAACAGAUUAUGAAGAUAUUAGUAACUCUAGAUAAGUAUGCCCUUCGAAGCCAGCAUUUCUCCCUCUCCAGCCAUAAAAUCCAUAGGAUACACAAAAGAAUGGUUCUCCAUAUCUUCUUCAGCCUUCUAGGUACCCUUUGAGCAUGCCAGUCUUCACAAACUAUUUAAUAUACUGAGGCAUCACCCAAGAGAUUCCACAAAUGCUUAAAAUCCCGGCAUUGUCUAGGUAUACUCUGCAAUGGAGGAAAAGAUGAUUCACUAUUUCCUAGGCCUCUUCACAUAGAUAACAUCUAUUACCAGUGUUGAUUGUAGAGCACAAGUACUGGGUUCAUCUGAAUCCAGUAUUUUUGAUACGGGCAUGUGUGUGUGUAUAAUGGAUUCAGUUGUAAGAAAAUAAAGGUUGACCCAUCAAUAAAAUUGUGGAUCCUCCUCUCUGUUACAUGAAGUGAAGCCUCUUUUCUGCAAGUUGUAUAUAGCAAGCCUUCCGAACUGUUGUCCACCUUAGUAUUGCUACCUUAACAGUUAACGGGAGCUUUUGUUUUCCAAAUCAUCUUCUGAGGCCAAUUGGCAUCCCACUAACCUGACUUCUUUAUCAUUAUACUGUCAGCAAUUUUUUAACUGAAUUUUUUCAUCAUCUCGUACUUCUCAGAUCAGUGAAUCCACCUUACUUUGAUCAAUUGAGACUUGACUUGUAGUAGUUGUAGCAUGGAUUUUAUAGAUGUUCACAUACUACUGACAUUGUUUGCAUUACAGAUUCCGGAAAAGGAGAAAAACAUGGAACCUCAUAGUCGUUUAAUUCAUGUUUAUCAUUUUAUGAAGAACAUAGCUCAAAAUCUAGCAGUAAGUACAUGUGUAAAGAUAUUGUUGCCAUAACUGUUCAUUUCAAGGAAGGUUCUUCCUUGAAUAAUUUAUUUUUGGUCCCCCCCCCCUCUCAAUUUGUAAGGUGCUGGGGUUACUUCAGAAUCAUCACUAGGGAAGACCAACAAUGAUAAACAAUGGGCAAGUGAUAUUGCUGUUAUGGGCAGUGGCACCAAGCAUGAGUCUGUCGGAGCAGAUUUUUGGAGUAUGUAUUUUGCUAUUUCUUGACUCACCUGGGUCUUGCCCAGCACUAUCAAGGAUGCAUAUGGCAGUUGGUUCCAAUGUAGAGUUGGAAAAUCAGUCAAAAAGAUAUUGGCAAUUUUAAAUUUUGGCUUUGUUCUACUUGCUAUCACAUUAUUGAUGUUGGCAUAUUGCUUGCUGGUGCUGGUUAUGAUAUCAUGUUUCGUCUGUAAGCAUUUGAUGUGUAAUUCCAAUGGUCUAUGCAGAGUGUGCAUCAUUAUCAACUAUCCCUCGCGGUAAAUGGUACUGCAAGUAUUGUGAAAGUAUGUUACAGAGGGAGAAGUUUGUGGAACACAAUGCAAAUGCCUUAGCAGCUGGCAGGGUCUCUGGCGUUGAUUCUAUAGAGCAAAUAACAAACCGCUGCAUUCGUUCUGUCAAGAAUGCUGAAGAGGCAGAAUUUAUUGCAUGUAUUUUAUGCAGGUAGUAUUUUUUGUUUGGCAUAGAGCAUGUUGCGGCUGACCACCUUAGCUUUAUUAGUUUAACCCAGUUUGUCAUGUCGUUUAUGUUUAUAGAGCUUAUGACUUUAGCAAGUCUGGUUUUGGUCCACGGACUGUCAUCCUUUGUGAUCAGGUUUUUCCUCUGCAUUUCUUUAUAUGUCUUAUUCAACAAGUAUAUGAACUGAAAUACUUUAUCCACCAUUUGUUUUCUCAGUGUGAGAAAGAGUAUCAUGUUGGCUGCUUGAAAAAAAGCAAGAUAGCAGAUUUAAAGGUGCAUGCAUUUGCAUUUUAAGAUGAUUUCAUGAAUAGGAAUUGCCUAAAGGGAAGUUCUGUAGUACGAAUUGCAAGAGGAUCUAUUCUGCACUGUAAAAUUUGCUAAACUCAGGCAAAGAAAGGUUGCCUGAUUCUUGUUUGGAUGCAACAAGGGUGAAGGAAAAGGAAAAGAGUUUGGUUGCUGAUGGUGAAUUUGAUGUUAGAUGGAGACUUCUGAGUGGAAGAGUUUCCUUCUCGUGAAACCCGAAGGCUACGGGCAGAAGCUGUUUCUAUCUUCCAUUGACUUGAACAAUCAUGAAUCUACAAGGGUGUUCAAGAAAUCAUCAGAAAGUUAAAGAACUUUGUUUCAGCUGGAUCACUUGUAGCUUUACGGAAAAAACUGAUGCUAGAACACAACAAGAAGAAUACAGGCUACAUAGAAUUUCUUGAAACUUAUCGCGACUAGAACUUGAUACUAUGUAAAAAUUUAACUAAUCAUUUGAGUACUUAACAUACAUUUUGCUUUUGGAUUUA